Molecule: long non-coding RNA, 3570 nt
Filed under: Actinidia chinensis (golden kiwifruit)
Lineage: Eukaryota; Viridiplantae; Streptophyta; Magnoliopsida; Ericales; Actinidiaceae
Description: long non-coding RNA (ACHI_LNC000050)
Source: RNAcentral
UUUCAAGCUCAAGUUAUUAGGGUAUUAGUAGUUAUGGCCGUAUGUUGUACUUUGUCUUUUUCAAAUUAUGCUAAUUUGAAUUUUUGAGUAAUGAGUUGUGACUAUUUUGCAUUUAUUUUGUUUAGUGAGGACUAUUGCUAUUGACUAUCGGACUCAAGUGGGUGUACCGUGCUAAUAGCGAUGCCUAGGCCCAAGUACUCUCAAAUCCAUAUCUCCGCGCCUUUGAAUGUUGUGGUACGUAACUGUGGCUUUAAAUUUUGUAUAUUUAUCUUGGGCCUUAAUUAACCUGAACUUGAAGUUCCCCGGGUUCAAUUUCAAGCUCAAGUUAAUUAGGUAUUAUUAGACAAGGCCUUAUGUUUUAAAUACGCUUUGGCCCUUUGUCAAAAUUAGCUGAUUUGAGUUUUUUGUGUAAUAUGUAGUGACUGUUUUUGCAUUUGGUCUGUUUUGCGAGGACUUUGCUAUUGACUAUACCCGUAUUCAACUUCAAGUCGGUAUUUAGGUACUUGUUUUUGUUGUUAUUAUUUUAUGUUGUUUUUUUAUUUAUAGCAUGAUUUUAAUGUUUGAGUACGAGUGAGUGACUGCCUUUGCUUUUUUGUUUUGUCGAGGACUAAUACUGUUGACUAUCGGGUUUAAAUUUCAUCAGCUCAAGUGUAUUAGGGUAAUUAUUAGUUAUUUCCGUAUGCUUUACUUUGUCUUUUUCAAAUAUGCUAAUUUGAAUUUUUGAGUAAUGAUUUGGCUGACUAUUUUCAUUGAUUUUUUGUUUAGUGAGGACUAUUGCUAUUGACUAUCCGGACUCAAGUUGGUGUUACCGUGGUAAAGCGAUGCCUGGCCCAAUACUCUCAACCAUAUCCCACCCUUUGAAUGUUGUGGUCGUAACUGAUGGCUUAAAUUUGUUGUCAUUUAUUCUUGGGCCUUAAUUAACCCUAACGUGAAUUUCCCCGGUUCAAUUUCAAGCGUCAUGUUAAUUAGGAAUUAUUAGACAAGGCCCUUUAUUUAAACUUUGUCCUUUUUACAAGUUAUCUGAUUUGAGUUUUGUUGUGUAAUAUGUAUGACUGUUUUUGCUUUGUUUUCGUUUUCGAGGAACUAUUCUCUUGACUACCGGAUUCAACUUCAGCUCGAGUUAUUUUAGGUACUUUUUGUUAGUACUUUAUGUUGUUUUUUUAUCUACAAGCAUGAUUUUAAAAUGUUUUGAGUAACGAGUAGUGACAGCUUUUUGCAUUUUGUUUUGUUUUGGCGAGGACUAAUACUGUUGACUAUCGGUUGUUAAUUUCAAGCUCGAAGUUAUUAGGGUAUUAUUAGUUAUGGCCGUUAUGUUGACUUGUCUUUUUCAAAUAUGCUAAUUGAUUUUUGAGUAAUGAGUUUGACAUUUUGCAUUAUUUUUGUUUAGUGAGGACUAUUGCUAUGGACUAUCGGGGACUGGAAUCAAGUGGGUGUACGUACUAAAUAGCGAUGCCUAGGCCCAAGUUCUCAAAUCCAUAUCUCCGCGCCUUUGAAUGUUUGUGGUACGUAACUGUUGACUUUAAAUUUUGUAAUUACUUGGGCCGUAAGUUACACCUGAACUGGAAGUCCCGGGUUCAAUUUCAAGCUCAAGUUAAUAGUAUUAUUAGACAGGACUUUAUGUUGUACUUGUAUUUUAAAAUUAUGACUGAUUUGAGUUUUUGUCUGUAGUAAGAUGUAGUGAACGUUUUUGCAUUGUCGUUUGCGAGGACUAUGCCCUAUUGACUACCGGAUUCAACUUAAAGUGCGAGUUAUUUAGGUUAACUUUUUGUUAGUACUUUAUGUGUGUUUUUAUUUAGAGACAUGAUUUAUGUUUGAGUAACGAGUAGUGACUGCUUGCAUUUUUUUGUUUUGCGUGAGGACUAAUUCUGUUGAAUAGUCGGGGUUUAAUUCAAGUCAAGUUAUUAGGGAUUAGUAGUUAUGGCCGCAUGUGUACUUGUCUUUUUCAAAUUAUGCCUAAUUGAAUUUUUGAGAGUAAUAGUGUGACUGUAUUUUGCCUUAUUUUGUUUAGUGAGGACUAAUGCUAUUGACUAUCGGAUCAAGUGGGUUUGUACCGUGCUAAUAGCGAUGCCUAAGGCCCAAAGUACUCUCAAAUCCAUAUACUCCGCGCCUUUGAAUGUUGUGGGGAGUACGUAAUGUGCUUUAAAUUUUGUUAUAUUAUCUUUGGCCUUAAUAACCUUGAACUGGAAGUUCCCGGGUUAAUUCAAGCUCAAGUUAUUAGGUAUAUUAGACAGGCCUUAUGUUGUGUACUUGUCUUUUUAAAAUUAUGCUGAUUUGAGUUUUUGUGUAAUAUGUAGUGACUGUUUUGCAUUUGUUCUGUUUUGCGAGGACUAUUGCUAUUGACUACCGGAUUCAACUUCAAGCUCGAGUUAUUUAGGUACUUUUUGUUAGUACUUUAUGUUGUUUUUUAUUUAUAGCAUGAUUUUAAUGUUUGAGUAACGAGUAGUGACUGCUUUGCAUUUUUUUUGUUUUGCGAGGACUAAUACUGUUGACUAUCGGGUUUAAUUUCAAGCUCAAGUUAUUAGGGUAUUAGUAGUUAUGGCCGUAUGCUGUACUUUGUCUUUUCCAAUAGCUAUUUGAAUUUUUGAGUAAUGAGUUGUGACUAUUUUGCAUUAUUUUGUUUUAGUGAGGACUAUUGCCUAUUGAUAUCGACUCAAGUGGGUGUACCGUGGUAAUAGCGCUGCCUAGGACCAAGUACUCUCAAACCAUAUCUCCACGCCUUAAUGUUGUGGUACUUAACUGUGGCUUUAAAUUUUGCUAUAUUUAUCUUGGGCCUUAAUUAACCUGAAACUUGAAGUCCACGGGUUCAAUUCAAGCUCAUUUAAUUAGGUAUAGUGACACGGGCCUUAUUAUUAAAAUUUGUCUUUAAAAUUAUGCUGAUUUGAGAUUUGGUUAAUAUGUAGUGACUGUUUUGCAUUUGUUCUGUUUUGCGAGGACUAUUGCUAUUGACUACCGGAUUCAACUUCAAGCUCGAGCUAUUUAGGUACUUUUUGUUAGUACUUUAUGUUGUUUUUUAUUUAUAGCAUGAUUUUAAUGUUUGAGUAACGUGUAGUGACUGCUUUGCAUUUUUUGUUUUGUUUUGCGAGGACUAAUACUGUUGACUAUCGGGUUUAAUUUCAAGCUCAAGUUAUUAGGGUAUUAGUAGUUAUGGCCGUAUGUGUACUUUGUCUUUUUCAAAUUACAGCUAUGUUGAAUUUGUGAGUACUGAGUUGCUGACUAUUUGCAUUGAUUUUGUUAUUUGAGGACUAUUGCUAUGACUAUCGGACCUCAAGUGGGUGUGUACCGUGCUAAUAGCGAUGCCUAGGCCAAAGUACUUCUCAAACCCAUAUCUCAAAGGCAUUUGAAUGUUGUUUUUACGAAACUGUGGCUUAAUUUUGUAUAUUUAUCUUGGGCCUUAAUUAACCUGAACUUGAAGUUUCCCGGGUUCAAUUUCAAGCUCAAGUUAAUUAGGAAUUAUUAGACAAGGCCUUAUGUUAAACUUUGUCUUUUUAAAAUUAUGCUGAUUUGAGUUUUUGUGUAAGAUGUAGUGACUGUUUUGCAUUUGUUCUGUUUUACGAGGACUAUUGCUAUUGA